CGGGAAAUGGGGCGACUUGGCCUUGGUCUCCAGGCCUCGAGGCUACCGCAGGGCUUUGUGAAGGACAAAAUGGCGAUGGCGGGCGGUGCCGGCGGCCUUCUCUGUGAUGAGGACCUUUCACAGACCUGUACUGAAUCCCGGUUCGGGCGCACGUCUGGACGCUGGAGGACCCGGAAUGUCCCUCUUGUUCGAGUAUGGUUCCGACCCAAAGAGCUCGUACAGGUUGGAGGAUGGGACCAGCCCUAUCCCCGUGCAGAUCAGUCCUUGCAGCGGGGCUCCGCAUCUCAUCGGUCCUGACGGAUUCAGCUGCCUCCGAGGGUGAUCACAGGUUGUCCUGAUGAUGAUCUAUUCACCUAUCUAAAUGGUCGCCAUUGAUCUGCCCAGGGUUGAACUCAUGGAAGGAGGUGGAAGUGGAGCAGCUGGGUCCUGUAUACUAAUGAGAAACCUCCAGAGUUAAAAGGUGCUGGUAACAGUGACCUGCUUUGCUUGUCCCCUCAGAGGUCCAGCACCUCCUCUGGGGCCCAGGAAUGAUUUGAGGGGAAGUGUAAUCUGUAUUUCUGUUCAACUUCAGUCUGAAGUUUGAGGUCUAAAGAAAGAACAAAGCAUGUAUAAUGGAAUCCAACUCUUUGAAGACAAGAGAAUUUUCAAGCAAUUUCUUGUAUAAUCUGGCUGUUUAAAUUUUCAAAUAAUCAUUUCCAUCCUUAAAAAUAAAGGCUCUUUUUAUUCUUCA
Long non-coding RNA from Myotis brandtii (Brandt's bat), 730 nucleotides. RefSeq lists it as uncharacterized. Lineage: Eukaryota; Metazoa; Chordata; Mammalia; Chiroptera; Vespertilionidae. The transcript is spliced from 12 exons. The record is from RefSeq and is a predicted model, not a curated record.